Molecule: transfer RNA, 76 nt
Filed under: Oceaniferula marina
Lineage: Bacteria; Pseudomonadati; Verrucomicrobiota; Verrucomicrobiia; Verrucomicrobiales; Verrucomicrobiaceae
Description: tRNA-Thr
Rfam family: tRNA
About the family: Transfer RNA (tRNA) molecules are approximately 80 nucleotides in length. Their secondary structure includes four short double-helical elements and three loops (D, anti-codon, and T loops).
Source: RNAcentral
GCCGGUUUAGCUCAGUUGGUAGAGCAACUGAUUUGUAAUCAGUAGGUCGUCGGUUCGAAUCCGUCAACCGGCUCCA